CAGGGAUUGCCUCAGUAACGGCGAGUGAAGCGGCAACAGCUCAAAUUUGAAAGCUGGCUCCUUUGGGGCCCGCGUUGUAAUUUGUAGAGGAUGCUUCGGGUGCAGUGCCGGUCUAAGUUCUUUGGAACAAGACGUCAUAGAGGGUGAGAAUCCCGUAUGUGACUGGUUGCUUGCGCCCAUGUGAAGCUCCUUCGACGAGUCGAGUUGUUUGGGAAUGCAGCUCUAAUUGGGUGGUGUACUUCAUCUAAAGCUAAAUAUUGGCCAGAGACCGAUAGCGCACAAGUAGAGUGAUCGAAAGAUGAAAAGCACUUUGGAAAGAGAGUUAAACAGUACGUGAAAUUGUUGAAAGGGAAGCGCUUGCAAUCAGACUUGCGCGGCGUCGAUCAGCCUGGGUUCUCCCUGGUGCACUCGGCGCCGCUCAGGCCAGCAUCAGUUUCAGCGGUUGGAUAAAGGCUUAGGGAACGUGGGUGGCCUCGGCCACCGUUAUAGCCCUAGGUGCAAUGCAGCCUGCUGGGACUGAGGACCGCGCUUCGGCUAGGAUGCUGGCGUAAUGGUUGUAAGCGACCNGUCUUGAAACACGGACCAAGGAGUCUAACAUCUAUGCGAGUGUUUGGGUGUCAAACCCAUGCGCGUAAUGAAAGUGAACGGAGGUGAGAACCCUUAAGGGUGCAUCAUCGACCGAUCCUGAUGUCUUCGGAUGGAUUUGAGUAAGAGCAUAGCUGUUGGGACCCGAAAGAUGGUGAACUAUGCCUGAAUAGGGUGAAGCCAGAGGAAACUCUGGUGGAGGCUCGCAGCGGUUCUGACGUGCAAAUCGAUCGUCAAAUUUGGGUAUAGGGGCGAAAGACUAAUCGAACCAUUGAGAAAACAACCAGCUUACUCUAGGUGGUUGAGAGGCCGGAAAGGCCUAGUCGCUACGGCGGCGAUACUGCAAAACUGCGGGGACUGCUCUAUAGACACAGGCUACCACAGCGGGCUCGAAAGGGCCCGCCACGGUUACAAGGCCUGGCGUCUGAGCUGAUUCGCAACCUCGAACCUACCGCGCCGCUUACCCGGAAGUCACGCACCUCUUACCCGGAGGUCACGCGACGCUUCCCCCGGGGGUGCCACGGUUCGGGGCUCAUCGACUAGAUGGCAGUGGGUUGGGCGCUGUGCGCUCCGCCUAAGAUAUAGUCAGACUGCGGCGACAAUGCUGUGGGCAGCUCGCUAGUAGCUGGUUCACGCCGAAGUUUCCCUCAGGAUAGCAGUGUUGUAUUCAGUUUUAUGAGGUAAAGCGAAUGAUUAGAGGCCUUGGGGUUGAAACAACCUUAACCUAUUCUCAAACUUUAAAUAUGUAAGAAGU
Molecule: ribosomal RNA, 1339 nt
Filed under: Sporomega degenerans
Lineage: Eukaryota; Fungi; Ascomycota; Leotiomycetes; Rhytismatales; Rhytismataceae
Description: eukaryotic LSU rRNA
Rfam family: Eukaryotic large subunit ribosomal RNA
Source: RNAcentral